CGGGAUGAUGAUUUCAGCCUUGUCUGAGGCUCGUGAUGAUGGAGUGACGGACUGACC
Molecule: non-coding RNA, 57 nt
Organism: Thermococcus sp. 5-4
Lineage: Archaea; Methanobacteriati; Methanobacteriota; Thermococci; Thermococcales; Thermococcaceae
Source: Rfam